AGUGAACGCUGGCGGUAGGCCUAACACAUGCAAGUCGAACGGCAGCACAGUAAGAGCUUGCUCUUACGGGUGGCGAGUGGCGGACGGGUGAGGAAUACAUCGGAAUCUACUUUUUCGUGGGGGAUAACGUAGGGAAACUUACGCUAAUACCGCAUACGACCUACGGGUGAAAGCAGGGGAUCUUCGGACCUUGCGCGAUUGAAUGAGCCGAUGUCGGAUUAGCUAGUUGGCGGGGUAAAGGCCCACCAAGGCGACGAUCCGUAGCUGGUCUGAGAGGAUGAUCACCCACACUGGAACUGAGACACGGUCCAGACUCCUACGGGAGGCAGCAGUGGGGAAUAUUGGACAAUGGGCGCAAGCCUUAUCCAGCCAUACCGCGUGGGUGAAGAAGGCCUUCGGGUUGUAAAGCCCUUUUGUUGGGAAAGAAAAGCAGCAGGUUAAUACCCCGCUGUUCUGACGGUACCCAAAGAAUAAGCACCGGCUAACUUCGUG
Molecule: ribosomal RNA, 492 nt
Filed under: uncultured bacterium
Lineage: Bacteria
Description: partial 16S ribosomal RNA
Rfam family: Bacterial small subunit ribosomal RNA
Source: RNAcentral